GCGGUACCGGUUCACGUCAAGUACUGGCGACCCGGCGACC
This 40-nucleotide non-coding RNA is filed under the name unclassified sequences. RNAcentral describes it as "L31-Actinobacteria ribosomal protein leader". It matches the Rfam family "L31-Actinobacteria ribosomal protein leader". The record is from RNAcentral.